This 245-nucleotide ribosomal RNA is filed under the name uncultured bacterium. RNAcentral's name for it is "partial 16S ribosomal RNA". It matches the Rfam family "Bacterial small subunit ribosomal RNA", at positions 1248 to 1500 of the family's 1533-position model. The record is from RNAcentral.
AGCGAAGCAGUGAUGUGGAGCAAAACUCAAAAAAAUAAGUCUCAGUUCGGAUUGAAGGCUGAAAUUCGCCUUCAUGAAGCCGGAAUUGCUAGUAAUGGCAGGUCAGCAUACUGCCGUGAAUACGUUCCCGGGCCUUGUACACACCGCCCGUCAAGCCAUGGGAGCCGGGGGUGCUUGAAGUGCGUCGCCGCAAGGCGCGCCCUAGAGCAAAACCGGUGACUGGGGCUAAGUCGUAACAAGGUACC